CUCUGUAGAGAUCGCCGUAGGCAUCAGUACGAGAAUUGGAAAGUGCUUGCAGCAAGUUCAUGUUUGACCCAAAACCUGGAAGACUAGCCACACCAAAUGAAUUGCCUACAGAUCCCCACCAGCCAAACAAGCCCCAUAUCAGCGCGGGGUGAGUCCUCCAGUAACUGCAAUUUAUUACAUUUCACAUCAGGAGAUGUCAGAUCAUUAUGUAGUUGAAAGUGCAAUGCUGGUAUACCUCUGUUUCUAUUUUGUUUUAUAUGACAUGUUUCCUUCAAUGGUUUUUGGUAUUGUCUUGUCUAAUCUUGUUAUUUCUUUCUCUGAAUUAGAUCUGCCCAAUAUUUCUGGAUAUUUUCUUUUAAUUUGUGCUGAAAAGAAUCACAUCUUUGUAUGUUUGAAAACUCUAUUGUUUCAAUUUUUUUUACUCUUAGUGACAUGGUCUUAUGAUUAUAGAAAUGUCAUGACAUACUUAAAACCACAAGUUCUCGGUAAAAUUUAGAUAUAUAUGAAAAUAAAUUCUUUCUUUCGUGAACGCUGUACUCAAUCCAAUAAUACUAUGUAAACAGGGAGAAUAAUUUUUGUUUCACUUACUUGCAUGUAAAAGGUGGUGAGUUGGGGUCAAUUGGAAAGACACCUGGAGCACUUGGAGUGCCUGGAUAAAUGAUAGGUGUAGUGGGGGUGGUAGGAGUCGGGGAGUAACCACCCCCUGGAGUGCUUGGAGUUCCGGGGUCAAUGGUAGGAGUAGGUGGUGUUUCAAUGAUUGGAGUAGUUGGGGUAGUAGGUGUAGGGGAAGGAUAGUAACCACCACCCCCUGGAGUGCUUGGAGUACCAGGGUCAACGGUAGGCGUAGGUGGUGUUUCAAUGGUAGGUGUAGAGGGGGUGGUAGGUGUAGGUGUAGGCGAAGGAUAGUAGCCACCACCACCUGGAGUGCUUGGAGUUCCGGGGUCAGCGGUAGGAGUAGGUGGUGUUUCAAUAGUAGGUGCGGAGGGAGUGGAUGGUGUACUAGGGGUACUAGGUGUAGGAGUACUUGGAGUCGGGGAAGGAUAGUAGCCACUUCCACCCCCUGGAGUACUUGGAGUGCCAGGGUCUGGAGUUGGGGUUACAACAGGUGUAGAGGGGGUGGAUGGUGUACUAGGGGUACUAGGUGUUGGAGUACUAGGAGGGCUUCCUCCACCAUGAUGAGCUGGUGGAGAGGGAGAAUAACCACCACCUCCAUGACCGCCUGAUGGAGGAGAUGGGGUAGGGUUAUGGUGAUGAUGAUGCCCUCCACUAGGGGGAGUCGGGUUACCACAGUUACCACCUG
Molecule: long non-coding RNA, 1300 nt
Filed under: Capsicum annuum
Lineage: Eukaryota; Viridiplantae; Streptophyta; Magnoliopsida; Solanales; Solanaceae
Description: long non-coding RNA (CANN_LNC013734)
Source: RNAcentral